RNAcentral lists this ribosomal RNA (491 nucleotides) under uncultured bacterium. RNAcentral's name for it is "partial 16S ribosomal RNA". It matches the Rfam family "Bacterial small subunit ribosomal RNA", at positions 29 to 506 of the family's 1533-position model. The record is from RNAcentral.
AGUGAACGCUGGCGGUAGGCCUAACACAUGCAAGUCGAACGGCAGCACAGUAAGAGCUUGCUCUUACGGGUGGCGAGUGGCGGACGGGUGAGGAAUACAUCGGAAUCUACUUUUUCGUGGGGGAUAACGUAGGGAAACUUACGCUAAUACCGCAUACGACCUACGGGUGAAAGCAGGGGAUCUUCGGACCUUGCGCGAUUGAAUGAGCCGAUGUCGGAUUAGCUAGUUGGCGGGGUAAAGGCCCUCCAAGGCGACGAUCCGUAGCUGGUCUGAGAGGAUGAUCAGCCACACUGGAACUGAGACACGUUCCAGCCUCCUACGGGAGGCAGCAGUGGGGAAUAUUGGACAAUGGGAGAAAGCCUGAUCCAGCCAUACCGCGUGGGUGAAGAAGGCCUUCGGGUUGUAAGGCCCUUUUGUUGGGAAAGAAAAGCAGCAGGUUAAUACCCCGCUGUUCUGACGGUACCCAAAGAAUAAGCACCGGCUAACUUCGU